UUGGAGUCUGUGGACCAUGUCUUUAAAAAGUGUCCUACAUCAAUAGAAGUCUGGACCUGUUUAGGAGUAAUCUAGGUUUUGAAUAGGCCAGAUUUGGAGUACUUGGAUUGGCCUACUUGAGUUUUUGCGGAAAGCUCUCAACAUCAGAGUCGAAUGUUUGGAUGUGCUCUAUGGACUCUUUGGUCUGAAAGAAAUAAAACAGUACAUGAGAGAAAGCAAAAGUCUGGAAAGGAUAUCUCAGAUACUAUUGGCUGGUAUUUGAGGGAACUAGAUGAUACGGAGGUUAGGCAGUAUAUUAGGAGUAGAACGAAGGCCAAAUAGAGACCCCCAACUGGAUCGAUUGUUAAAAUCAAUUUUGAUGGUGCCUUUGAGAAAGAGAGCUUUAGAUCGUGCUCUGGCAUAGUAGCAAGAAACUCCCAUGGUGAGGUUCUGGUUUCACGAGCAGUUUUUCACCCGAAUGUUGGCUCGCCUUUUGCUGCGGAAGCCAUUGCAUGCUUAUGGACAGUGAAAACAAGUACAAAAAUAGGGUGGUCAAAGGUAAUAAUAGAAGGUAAUGCAUUAACUAUCAUUAAGAUAUGUCAAUCAGAUCAAAUAGAUAGAUCAGAGAUUGGGGUUCAUAUCAGAGAUAUUCAUCAGAUUUCACAACAGUUUGGAUGGAUUCGAUUCAAACACACAAACAAUGUAGCAAAUCAACUAGCCCAUGUUUUAGCUAAUAUGAGUCUAAAAAGAGAGGAACCAACUUAC
This 744-nucleotide long non-coding RNA is filed under the name Gossypium raimondii (Peruvian cotton). RNAcentral's name for it is "long non-coding RNA (GRAI_LNC005265)". Lineage: Eukaryota; Viridiplantae; Streptophyta; Magnoliopsida; Malvales; Malvaceae. The record is from RNAcentral.